This is a long non-coding RNA of Eriocheir sinensis (Chinese mitten crab), 1065 nucleotides long. RefSeq lists it as uncharacterized. The transcript is spliced from 3 exons. The record is from RefSeq and is a predicted model, not a curated record. NCBI's taxonomy places the organism in Eukaryota, Metazoa, Arthropoda, Malacostraca, Decapoda, Varunidae.
UAUCUAAUCAAAGGUGGAAGAUGAAGGACAGCAAAGGCGAAGGCCGUGGUGAGCAAAUCAGGGAAGUAAAGUAACGGAACAGGCCUUCCUGGCGAGCGUCGCAGGGCUCAGGGCUCCGGCAGGGCGCCUCGGCUCCCCCGGAGCGUCCACGGAGGUGUCGGAGAUCCCGAGGGUCCGGGGGUUGGGGGGGCUUGAAGUGGCAGCAAGACAUGCAGUUACUGACCUCUUAUUAGCCAGACGACGCGUUAAUGACACGUUCCAAUGGAAGGUUCGACGCAUGGGGAGGUACAAUUCCCCUAAGCAAGGCAAGUGUCAUGCCAACUACGAUAAAAAACGAAAAAUCCCAAAAAAAUACAAAAACAAAAAAUCCAAAAAAAAAUGUCUUGUUUUGCUUUGUUUAAAGCGUCUUGUAUGUUGGUAUGGCGGGUCUUCUCUGGGGAGAAGGAGACUAACGCGUUCCAACAUAUAAAACCAGGAAAAGACGACAUGGAAACACCGAGAGAAGGAAGGGGAAGAAGGGAACACCAGAAGAAGGAAAAUGAAGAGAAGUAACACUAGAAGAAGGCAUAUGAAGUAACACAAGAAGGAAGUUGAAAAGAGUAACACAAGAAGAGGGAAUUUGAAAAGAGUAACACAGAAGAAGGUAUUGAAAAGAGUUACACAGAAUAAGGUAUUGAAAAGAGUUACACAGAAGAAGGUAUUGAAAAGAGUAACACAGAAGAAGGUAUUGAAAAGAGUAACACAGAAGAAGGUAUUGAAAAGAGUAACACAGAAGAAGGUAUUGAAAAGAGUAACACAGAAGAAGGUAUUGAAAAGAGUUACACAGAAGAAGGUAUUGAAAAGAGUUACACAGAAGAAGGUAUUGAAAAGAGUAACACAGAAGAAGGUAUUGAAAAGAGUAACACAGAAGAAGGUAUUGAAAAGAGUUACACAGAAGAAGGUAUUGAAAAGAGUUACACAGAAGAAGGUAUUGAAAAGAGUAACACAGAAGAAGGAAUUUGAAAAGAGUUACACAGAAGAAGGUAUUGAAAAGAGUAACACAGAAGAAGGAAUUUGAAAAGAGUA